UUCCAGAGUGUUGAAUUCAGUUCAGGUCAGCUUCCCUGUUCUAUUAAACUUUAGGAAAUUUAAAUGGGCUAGAAUAGGUGAUUGGAUAGAAAAGUACUGUUAUAUUCACUUAUGUCCCAGCCUAUAAAA
RNAcentral lists this small nucleolar RNA (129 nucleotides) under Dasypus novemcinctus (nine-banded armadillo). Lineage: Eukaryota; Metazoa; Chordata; Mammalia; Cingulata; Dasypodidae. The record is from RNAcentral.